AUCCAGACCGGCUCCUCGACCUUCACCGCUCCACGAGGCGACUCCCUUUACUGGUCAAAAGUUCAUUUGUGUGUGUGUGUGUGUGUGUGCGUGUGUGUGUGCAUGUGUAUGUGUCUGUGUGUGUGCGUGUGUGUGUGUCUACAUCAGUCUCUGGGGUUUUCACACUGACCGACCUCACCCUCUCGUCUCUCUUCCUCUCACCCUCUCCUCUCACCCUCUCUCUCUCCUCUCACCCUCUCGUCUCUCUUCCUCUCACCCUCUCCUCUCUCCUCCCUCUCUCCUCCCUAUCUCCUCCCUCUCUCCUCUCUCUCCCUCUCACCCUCUCCUUCUCUCUCUCCUCCCUCUCUCUCCCUCUCACCCUCUCCUUCUCUCUCUCCUCCCUCUCUCCUCUCUCUCCCUCUCACCCUCUCCUUCUCUCUCUCCUCCCUCUCUCUUCCUCUCUCCCUCUCACCCUCUCCUCUCACCCUCUCCUCUCUCUCCCUCUCACCCUCUCCUCUCUCCUCCCUCUCUCCUCCCUCUCUCCUCUCUCUUCCUCUCACCCUAUCCUUCUCUCUCUCCUCCCUCUCUCCUCUCUCUCUCCCCCCUCUCCUUCUCUCUUUCCUCCGUCUCUCCUCUCUCUCCCUCUCACCCUCUCCUUCUGUCUCUCCUCCCUCUCUCUCCCUCUCACCCUCUCCUUCUGUCUCUCCUCCCUCUCUCUCCCUCUCACCCUCUCCUUCUCUCUCUCCUCCCUCUCUCUCCCUCUCACCCUCUCCUUCUGUCUCUCCUCCCUCUCUCUCCCUCUCACCCUCUCCUUCUGUCUCUCCUCCCUCUCUCUCCCUCUCACCCUCUCCUUCUCUCUCUCCUCCCUCUCUCUCCCUCUCUCCCUCUCACCCUCUCCUUCUGUCUCUCCUCCCUCUCUCUCCCUCUCACCCUCUCCUUCUGUCUCUCCUCCCUCUCUCUCCCUCUCACCCUCUCCUUCUCUCUCUCCUCCCUCUCUCUCCCUCUCACCCUCUCACCUUCUCUCUCUCCUCU
This 1011-nucleotide long non-coding RNA is filed under the name Takifugu rubripes (torafugu). RNAcentral describes it as "lncRNA (ENSTRUG00000032592.1)". The record is from RNAcentral. Lineage: Eukaryota; Metazoa; Chordata; Actinopteri; Tetraodontiformes; Tetraodontidae.